This 465-nucleotide ribosomal RNA is filed under the name uncultured bacterium. Its description in RNAcentral is "partial 16S ribosomal RNA". It matches the Rfam family "Bacterial small subunit ribosomal RNA", at positions 28 to 507 of the family's 1533-position model. The record is from RNAcentral.
GACGAACGCUGGCGGCGUGCUUAACACAUGCAAGUCGAACGGAAAGGCCCUGCUUGCAGGGUACUCGAGUGGCGAACGGGUGAGUAACACGUGGGUGAUCUGCCCUGCACUUCGGGAUAAGCCUGGGAAACUGGGUCUAAUACCGGAUAGGAGCCAUUUUUAGUGUGAUGGUUGGAAAGUUUUUUCUGUGUAGGAUGAGCUUGCGGCCUAUCAGCUUGUUGGUGGGGUAAGGGCCUACCAAGGCGGAGGCGGGUAGCCGGCCUGGGAGGGUGGACGGCCACAGUGAGACUGAGACUCAGACCAGACUCAGACGGGAGGGAGAAGUAGGGGAGAGGGAUAUAGGGGAGCAGGCCUGAGGCAGCGACGGCGCGGGCGGGAGGGCGGUCUUCGGGUUGUAAUCUCCUUGCGCUAGUGACGAAGCUUUUUGUGACGGUACCUAGAUAAGAAGCACCGGCUAACUACGUG